This 253-nucleotide ribosomal RNA is filed under the name uncultured bacterium. RNAcentral's name for it is "partial 16S ribosomal RNA". It matches the Rfam family "Bacterial small subunit ribosomal RNA", at positions 524 to 776 of the family's 1533-position model. The record is from RNAcentral.
UACGGAGGGGACUAGCGUUGUUCGGAAUUACUGGGCGUAAAGCGCACGUAGGCGGCUUUGUAAGUUAGAGGUGAAAGCCUGGAGCUCAACUCCAGAAUUGCCUUUAAGACUGCAUCGCUUGAAUCCAGGAGAGGUGAGUGGAAUUCCGAGUGUAGAGGUGAAAUUCGUAGAUAUUCGGAAGAACACCAGUGGCGAAGGCGGCUCACUGGACUGGUAUUGACGCUGAGGUGCGAAAGCGUGGGGAGCAAACAGG